ACUUGAAAAGAAUGUGUAUUCUGCUGAUUCAUGGUGGAAUAUUCUGAAUAUAUCUGUUAAAUUCAACUGUUUCAAUGUGUCCUACAAGGCCACUGUUUCCUUGCUCUCUGUUUAGAUUAUCCGUCCAUUGGUACUGAAGGCUCCUCGAAGGUGACUACCUUACCUUAAUCAUUACUACAUCACUGAGGACAAUUCUUGCAAAGAAACUUGAAAAUGGGAUGAAGAAAAUACUAAAGAUCAAAGUCAGGGCCCUGAGAUCAAGGCCUGCAUCUGGCUCCCUCCUAAAGCUCCCCUGCUCAAAAAAGUUCUUUGGAGAGAAGGAAAAUUACACACAUCAGAAACUCAGACCCACAUAAGCAAAGGAAGACUGUGGAAGAAAAGAUGAAGGCAUGCUAAUUAUUAGAAGCCAAUUUCAGUCCUUACUAAAGGUAUUUUAAGAAUAUGGGCAUCACCACCAGAUCCAGUAACUGCAAAUGUGGAAGUGCUGAAAUUGCUUGCAAGAAGAGAUGAUGAAGAGAUGGAAGACAGAAAGUGGUCAAACAACUUCACAUAAAGUACUUAUAAACAUGAAUUAUUUAUUUUUGUUCCCUCUAGUAAUCCAAACUAUAAGUGACCUCUAGAACUAGAUUCUCUACUCAGCUAUAUAUUAAAUACCAAAUUGCUAAAGGAAACUUUAAAACACUCGUUUAUAUUUUAAAAGCCUCAUAGUGAUUAAACAUUGUUUACUUGAUUUAUAUUUUAGAAUUCAAUAAAUAAG
Long non-coding RNA from Canis lupus familiaris (dog), 757 nucleotides. RefSeq lists it as uncharacterized. The transcript has 6 exons. Lineage: Eukaryota; Metazoa; Chordata; Mammalia; Carnivora; Canidae. The record is from RefSeq and is a predicted model, not a curated record.